This 74-nucleotide transfer RNA is filed under the name Candidatus Doudnabacteria bacterium RIFCSPHIGHO2_01_52_17. RNAcentral's name for it is "tRNA-Ala". It matches the Rfam family "tRNA". Rfam says of the family: Transfer RNA (tRNA) molecules are approximately 80 nucleotides in length. Lineage: Bacteria; Candidatus Doudnaibacteriota. The record is from RNAcentral.
GGGCCCAUAGUAAAAUGGCAUUACACAUCCAUGGCAUGGAUGAGGUCCGAGUUCAAUCCUCGGUGGGUCCACCA